CGUCCCUUAUGUACACCCAGGUGCACCUAAUCACCGCCACCUAGUGUCCAAAGUGUCAAUAUAAAUACGGUGUAACAAACAAAAUAUACUUUGCCAACAACAACACAUAAUGGCUCCUACACACCGGCCCCUAAUUGUCUUUUAUAACAAUUACCAAAAAAUAAUAAGGGAAUGUGUUGGCAAUUAAUUCUCUUCACUGAUUCUUCGGUCUUCUUUUGAAGUAGUCAUUUUUAGGGCCCGGGGCUCCAAAACUUGGAACCUGGUGGUAUCUGGUCCUUACCACCAGGCCUUACUAAAUCUCAGUUUCUUUAAUCAGACAUAUCUUCGUUAUUGGUCUUUCCAAUAUGUUGGUUUUUGUCUGAAGUCGGACGGUACGCACAAGGCCUUGUGCAUCUGCUUUCGUCUCCAGUAUUCUACCCAUUAACCAGGAGCCUCGUGGUGCAGUGGAGUCGACCACCACAACUAUGUCACCUGGGGCGAAGUUCCUUUUUACCUUUGACCACCGCUGUCGUUCUUGAAUUAAUGAUACAAGUCCUCUCUUACGAAGAGUCCAGGUGGUAGUAUCGGCUUGGUUUUCAACAGAAGGAGGUGGUUUGGGGGCCGAAGUAGUCUACUCCUACGUCUGUAAAUGGAGGCUUGUCUGGUAGAAUCCUUUCCAGAGGCUUUGGAUGCGUUGCUCUGCUAUGCAACGGUUGUUUGGCAUGCGGGGAUUUUCUUGCUUGAAAGAAGGUGGCUGAGCUUCCAUGGUCCAAAAACGCAUACGUCUGCAACACAGUGUCUCCUUUGGGGGUCUUCACUUGUACUGGCACAAUAGAGAAGAGACAGGCUAUUUCACCGGCCCCAAUAUGCCCACAUGUAUGAGGUGUUGCAGUAGUUGCAAAACUGCUUCCUCUUGGUCUCGGCCUCUCUCUUGCUGUGACAUAGGGUUUGACGGAUGUAGUUGUCUUAGCAUCCUGGAUGUUCCCAAAAAGUGGAUCCGACAAUAUCUUCACUUGUCUCUCCAUGAAGUCUACCAAGUCAGAGAAACUAGCUCGACGUCCAUGUUGUUCCUGGAGCUGACAUGCCCUAUUCCUCCACUUGUCUCUGAGCUUGUAAGGCAGUUUCAGAAGAAUGGUCUUCAUACUGGAAGCGACGUUCAACUCCUCCAUAUAGGUGAGUUGUUCCAUUGCAUUGCAACAACCUCUCAGGAAUAAUGUAAACGCUUGCAAUGCUUUCACGUCCUCUGGCUUAAUCGCUGGCCAGGCAAACGCUUUGUUCAUGUAUGCUGUAGCAAUCUUAUGUUCGCUACCAAAAUGUUCUUUAAGCAGUUCUUUUGCUCUUUUAUAGCCCUCAGCCGAAGACAAAUGUUGACAGCUGUGGACUAAAUCCUUUGGAUACCCUCUGGUAUAUUGCUCUAGGAAAUGCAGGCAGUCACUGUAGUCAUCAGUCUUUCUUUCCACUCCUCUCUCGAAUGCCCUGAUGAAAACUCCAUAUUGCAAGGGAUCACCAUCAUAAACGGGAAUAUCUCUUGGUGGUAAAGUAGAAGAGAGAUUGUGUUGAGCUAGAAGAGAGGUUAUGUCACUUUGCUUCUGAAUGAUGUGAUAGAUAUCACCUUGAUUAUGAUCAUUAUAUCCAGGUUGUGUUAGAGGAGUCAUAUCCUG
Molecule: long non-coding RNA, 1640 nt
Organism: Gasterosteus aculeatus aculeatus (three-spined stickleback)
Lineage: Eukaryota; Metazoa; Chordata; Actinopteri; Perciformes; Gasterosteidae
Source: Ensembl